UCCAAUGUUGGGUUUCUCUCGCCAACCCUUCGGCUACCGUUCUCCCAAAAGCCUCCCCGUAACGCCUAAUUUAUGGUUACCUUACUCUCAUCUCCACUUCAUUACAUUCUCAGUUUAAGUCUCUGUUCCAAUUCUUCUUUUUGAAGGCGGUUCGAUUUCUCACCAAACAGAAGCUAAAAAAAAAUGGGGAUUUUCCAAUUAUACAUUUCCGACUUGGAAGAAAGGAGGCGAGCUUAUUGGGGGUGAACAUGGUAUUGCAUGACAAGAAGUCGACGUUGAUACGAGGUACCAUCACCUCACAUCAGCUUAGUGUGUUCUAUAUUGCUAGAAGCAAUAGUCACUUCAAACUGUGCGCCUCUCCUGUCUGUAUUCGAUUUACCGAGCAUACCAGCUUUGUCGAGGUGACUGAAAAAAAUCAGGUUUUGCAAGUAUGAGCAGCUAAUGGUUCUCGCUAACACCAACGUAGAUUUGCGCGAUAUUUUUGGUCAGGAUAGGAGUAUACACACCAUCUACAAUGACGAAAACGAGUAGAUACAGCGUGUUAUGGUCACGAUCCAUCUGGCCAGGUCAACCACUGUGUGUCAGUGUGUUUGAUAAGGUUGCGUGACAAGUUAGUACUCUUGGAUGUGGAGAUAAAAGAUCGCUUAGUCCUAAACGUCACAUUAGGGACACAGUUCUACUUUUAUCAUGAAAGCCAAGCCACUCAGUGUUUCUUAAAAGAGUCCGUUAUUUCUUCUUACAAUUAGUUACUACUUCACGAUUAUUACGGCGUUAGUUCCCACAUUAAACAUCCCAGAUGCAGGUUCUGCAGAGCAGAGAGUGGUUCCUCUGGUGGUAUAUCUUCCAAACUCUCUGAACUUAAUAUCUACGUUCUGAAUUCACCCCUACAUGUACGUUCACUGAAUAAGGAUCACUCUUAUUAUUGCAUUUAGCUCAGUUCUCAUGUGUACUGUCACAACAUGACCAAUUUACAUGUGUUGUUAUUUUUUUGUGGUCUCUCCUUUUUCAUACUGCUCACAAUUAACCAAUCAAAAUGUCUCUUACUUGAAAAUAAGAGACUUUUUUGCUGCUUGCUUUCUGCGUUUGCUCAUUUAUCUAGGCUUCACAUUUGAAAAAAAUAUUGUCAGCAACUGUGGAGUUUCUAAUAUAGCACCCCAUAAGUGAUGAUAUGUCUGUAGCUGUUAAACUUUCUAUGGUCCCAAAUCCAGUGGUGAAAAGCAGUUGUUCGUAUCACACAACCGGGCCAGAUGAUGUUCCAAUUAUUGAAGGAUGUCCAGCCAGCACUGACUCAGAGCCUGCACAUACUGAUUCAGUCCUGACCUCCACUGAGACUCCCAUUGAUGUUGAAAAGGCCCCCAGUUCAAAGUAAGCUCGAAAUACUGAUCACUCCAACUAUGGAGACUUGGAAUUUGCAAAAUUCAAUUCCAUUGUUUGUUUCAAAAUUUUAUGUUUUUCUUCAAUAAUGCUGUAAUCCACAUACUUUUACUUAGCACCAAAGUGUUUUUGUUUACUUAUCUUUGGUACAAUGCCAUUUAAAUAGCUGAG
Molecule: long non-coding RNA, 1545 nt
Organism: Brassica oleracea var. oleracea
Lineage: Eukaryota; Viridiplantae; Streptophyta; Magnoliopsida; Brassicales; Brassicaceae
Exons: 5
Source: RefSeq, a predicted model, not a curated record